AACGUGCAUUUUCCUUCUAAUUAGGCACAUCCACUAUGCUGCUUACUAGAAUAAACUGUGCAAAUUGGCCUGAUGUAUGUACUAAGGAAAAUGUUACUGAAUUUCCUGUUGUAAAGAUGUACAAGGAAGGCGAGAACCCAGUAUCUUAUGGUGGUAUGUUAGGAACUGAAGAUCUCCUAAAAUUUAUCCAGCUCAACAGGAUUUCAUGUCCAGUGAACAUAACAUCUAUCCAAGAAGCAGAA
Myotis brandtii (Brandt's bat) is the source of this 242-nucleotide long non-coding RNA. RefSeq lists it as uncharacterized. Lineage: Eukaryota; Metazoa; Chordata; Mammalia; Chiroptera; Vespertilionidae. The record is from RefSeq and is a predicted model, not a curated record. The transcript has 2 exons.